AGAGGCUUCCUUUCAAGCUGAGUAGAAAUAUCGUAUAAAGAAAAUGACAAAAGAAAUAUCACACGGAGAUCAGUGUACCCAUAUAUUGAUAUGAAAUCUCAUUCUCAUAUAUCAUAUAUAUAAACACUGAUGCUCGAAUCAUCUCCGAUCCGAUUUAGCAAAGCGAAAGCCAAUAGCUUCGCUAUAGCGACUACGUUCCAGCUUGGAUUUGGAAAUCGAAUCUCUCAGUCGGCGGGGGAA
This 240-nucleotide long non-coding RNA is filed under the name Nicotiana benthamiana. RNAcentral describes it as "long non-coding RNA (NBEN_LNC032796)". Lineage: Eukaryota; Viridiplantae; Streptophyta; Magnoliopsida; Solanales; Solanaceae. The record is from RNAcentral.